This 2217-nucleotide long non-coding RNA is filed under the name Nicotiana tabacum (common tobacco). RNAcentral describes it as "long non-coding RNA (NTAB_LNC010007)". The record is from RNAcentral. Lineage: Eukaryota; Viridiplantae; Streptophyta; Magnoliopsida; Solanales; Solanaceae.
CUUGUCACACACUUCUGAUUUCAUGAUUUUACCUAUUAAUGUUAGGGGAACACAUUUGGAAUUAUAAACUACUCAUUAAUCAAGUUGAAUUCACAGGUACAAUCUUCCUAAUAGUAUUGAGACCCUAAACAAUUGAACUGGAAAUACAACAAAUCAUCAGGCAUAUAUACUCUUGCUCAAAUUAUAGCUCUCAAAAAACUCAGAUACUAAGACCAAACUCUGCUGGAAAUAAACCAACAAAAUCAUAAUAUGCACUAGCCAUAGACUGAAAAUCGACACUGACCUAAAUAAGUUUAAACAAAGCCAACAAGUUUAAAUUACAAAUCAACACAAUAAGCUAAGUUCCUAAUCCAAACUUGAAAAUGGAAUAUAGCAUUAUUAAUGUAAAUGAGCAAAGGAACACAUAAUGUAAAGCUAACUUAGUACAUAAUUUGGGCAAAACUUUAAAGAGCACGUGAAUAAUCUUUCAGCAAAGCUAAUAUUCAUUCUUAAGUCUCCACACUUGAUUACAUGGUUUCAGAUUUGCACUUCACAUAUUACUCAAGGUCCAAGAAAUGCCUAUAUUUCAAAAUAAGGCAAAAGAGAGUGAGGAUUCAGUAGUAGCAACGUGAGUAACACAGCAAAACAACAGUAGCCACAGCUUCCAAAACUAAACCAUGCUUCAACCCUUUUUUUGUUCGAAAAUUUCAAAGAGUUUCUUCUAGUUUUCUUGUCAAAAUUAGAGAAAUCUUUAGCUAAAAAAUGCAGAAUUUUUUUGUUCCAGAGAAUGAUGCUUUUUGUCUGUCCUUUAGAAUGAAGGAAAGGGCCUGCUUUAUAGGCCUCUCAACCAUGUGCUUAAAACAAAAAAAUGGAAUUAUUCCCAGCUUACAAAAGGUAUCUUUAUAACAAAAUUGGGACAGCUGUCACCCUUUAAUUGAUUUCAGUAUUUGUGCUAGCCAAAUAGGGCCAGCUGCCCCAAAUUCUAGAAGCUUCUAACCUUAACUUUAUCUGAAAAAUCCUAUUUCUAACUUCCAAAUUACCCCCUAAGUUUCUACUUGUUCAAUUAACCACUCGUAAGUUUCUAAUGGUUGAUAAAUUAUGGCAAACAAAACAAUGCAAACAAACAUUGGUAAAAUAGAAUCAAAUAACAAACGAAAAUGCAAUUAAACCUUCAGACUAACCUUAAAUUUAUUUAUCAUGAACCAAAUUAGCCAUGAAACAGAAACAGAAAUAACUCAAACCUAAUACUAACACAAGUUUCAAAAGAAAAGUUAUUAAAGCCCAUUAAUAGAUUACUGGGAGGGGAAAUUCAACAAACAUCUAACUAAGUAUUGAACAUAAAUGCUGAAAUUAGCCUAACUAAAUAGUGCAAACUAAACAAGGAAAGCAGGUAUGGAAACUAAACAUCAACCAGAAAGUAAACAAAAUUAUCAGUGAUUACCCUAGCCAAAUCAUUUGAAUCUUAUGACCUUAAUUAGCUAACCAUGAAAUUCAAAUAAACCCAACCUAUCAAAGGCAACUUACUUAACAAAAAACUGAGAUGAAUGAAAGCCUUAACAACAUAUAUUGUUUUUUGUUUUUAUGGAUGUGAAUCAGCACAAACGAACAAAACAAUAAUAGAAGACAAAAGAACAAGAAGACCAAGAGAGGAAAUACCUACUAAAGGACGAAGAAGAAACGAAAGAACUUGUGCUUGGCUUCGGAUGAUUCAAAAGGCUUGAAGUUGACACAAAUGGUUACUCUGGUAAAGAAUAACCUAAUUGGGCAAACUUCCAGCCAAAUUAGGCAAAACUUCGAGAAAAAUUCCCAAAGAAACAGAAGGGGUCGAACCCUAGAUCCAAAAUUCGACGAGCUUCAAAGACUCCUAGGGGAAAUUGUUGGGUGUUUUGGGUUUGGGGAAGCCGGGUGACUACAGGGUGUGGACUUGGGGCGGUUUGAGUGAGUUAGGGUUUUUGGGGUUGGUACUUUAGAUCUGAAAUCGGAAAAGAUUGGCGGGGAUUUGAAGGAAUUAUUUAGGGAUUUGGAAAGAGGAAAUAAAGGGGAUUUCCUGGUAAAUAUUUGGGGAGGUUUGGACCACCAGAACCGCCAUGAGGCGAUUUCCGGUGGUGGUUAGCGGCGGAGGCGGUGAGGUUCUUUUAGGAGGCUAGGGUUUGGUUCAUGUUGAAAGAGACGUGGGAAUGGUUGGUUUUGAGAGGGGGGGGGUCUGUGUUAGGAUAGUUAUAAGGUUUAAGUUGAUUA